Molecule: ribosomal RNA, 466 nt
Filed under: uncultured bacterium
Lineage: Bacteria
Description: partial 16S ribosomal RNA
Rfam family: Bacterial small subunit ribosomal RNA
Source: RNAcentral
GAUGAACGCUGGCGGCGUGCUUAACACAUGCAAGUCGAACGAUGAAGCCCAGCUUGCUGGGUGGAUUAGUGGCGAACGGGUGAGUAACACGUGAGUAACCUGCCCUUGACUCUGGGAUAAGCCUGGGAAACUGGGUCUAAUACUGGAUAUGACUUCUCAUCGCAUGGUGGGGGGUGGAAAGAUUUAUUGGUCUUGGAUGGACUCGCGGCCUAUCAGCUUGUUGAUGAGGUAAUGGCUCACCAAGGCGACGACGGGUAGCCGGCCUGAGAGGGUGACCGGCCACACUGGGACUGAGACACGGCCCAGACUCCUACGGGAGGCAGCAGUGGGGAAUAUUGCACAAUGGGCGCAAGCCUGAUGCAGCGACGCCGCGUGAGGGAUGACGGCCUUCGGGUUGUAAACCUCUUUCAGUAGGGAAGAAGCGAGAGUGACGGUACCUGCAGAAGAAGCGCCGGCUAACUACGUG